Molecule: transfer RNA, 72 nt
Filed under: Bos taurus (domestic cattle)
Lineage: Eukaryota; Metazoa; Chordata; Mammalia; Artiodactyla; Bovidae
Also listed under: 3 other names
Rfam family: tRNA
About the family: Transfer RNA (tRNA) molecules are approximately 80 nucleotides in length. Their secondary structure includes four short double-helical elements and three loops (D, anti-codon, and T loops).
Source: Rfam by way of RNAcentral
UCCCUGGUGGCUCAGACAGUAAAGAAUCUGCCUGCAAUGCAGGAUACCCAGGUUCCAUCCCUGGCUUGGGAA